Molecule: non-coding RNA, 73 nt
Organism: Triplophysa rosa
Lineage: Eukaryota; Metazoa; Chordata; Actinopteri; Cypriniformes; Nemacheilidae
Source: the annotation of a RefSeq genome assembly
GCCGAAAUAGCUCAGUUGGGAGAGCGUUAGACUGAAGAUAUAAAGGUCCCUGGUUCGAUUCUGGGUUUCGGCA